Vicia villosa (hairy vetch) is the source of this 1658-nucleotide long non-coding RNA. RefSeq lists it as uncharacterized. The transcript has 5 exons. The record is from RefSeq and is a predicted model, not a curated record. NCBI's taxonomy places the organism in Eukaryota, Viridiplantae, Streptophyta, Magnoliopsida, Fabales, Fabaceae.
UGUAUGAAUGUGGGGUCCACCGGGAUUGAAGAUAUGGAUAUACACUGAUUGAUUGUUGAUAUGUUUUCUUUUAGGAAGAUGUAGGUAUUAGAUUGGUAUGGUAUUAUUGUAUAGGAUUGACGUCGGCAGCAUUUUGCUUGCUUAUUUGAAUAUUUAUUUAUGACUAUUGAAUUGAUAUAGUAUAGUUUAGGGCUGGACAAGAGAAGCUGAACCGAGGAAAUCCGAUCGGUCCGAAGUUAAUUUUUCUGUUCGGAUCGGGCUACAUCGGAUUAUCGGGUCUAACGGGUGAAUGGUUUGGAUAUUAAUGGGCUACUUCGGUUCGGAUCGGUUGGAAAUAUUAGGCCCAUCGGUGACCGAAUCCGACCGAACUCAGUUACUACUUUACUAUUUAUUAACAUUAUUAGGGUUUCUUGUUCAUUUUUCUUCUUCUUCUAAACAGCGCCGCCCCCCUCACAGCUCUCAUUUGUUCAACUUCAUCUUAGAGGAAUACAACCUCCACCAUGUUUUCAUCACCGCCAUAUUCAUCUCUCCUUCUCAAUCUCUUCUCCCAAUAUCAUCCUUACAUACAUAUUAGUUUUGAAACCCAAACCCUAGCCCCCAAAUUCAGAAAAUAUCACAAUAAAUAUUUGUUGUGAGAGAUUGGAUACUACGCUCUUUCAGAACACUUGAAGAACAUCUUCCUACUAUUUGUCUAAAAGCUAUGUCUUUUAUGCAGGUGUUUAUACCUCAUUUCUGUGUUGAAUCAGAGCCUUCUUACUAUAGAGGAGAUUCAAUAUUUUCAGCUCUGAGGCAGAUAAGAGGGAUAUCACUGAAUGAAGCAAGCUCUAUAUCUCAUUAGAUUCUCAGAUUUGAGUGAAAGCAUAGCAGAGAGGUGAAUGCUAUUUUAAGGAUGUUGGUGGUAAUCUCUUGUUAAAAGAGAGGCCUUGAUGAUGGACAUAUAAGGAAGAGAUUAUGGAGUUCAAGCAAGACAAGAGAUUAUGGAGUUCAAGCAAGACAACUUAUGUUUGCUGUGUUGAUCAAAAUUAUGAGGCUUAGCAAACAAACUAUAACAUAUGGUGAAUGGUUGAGUCCCAGAUACAUAUUUGGUUACUCUAAAAAUUGGUAAGAAACCGAUUUUGUGAUAUUGUUAGUUGCAACAUGAAACUAAACAGUAUAUUACUUGGUCGUUUUUUGUGUUUUUUGAUAUAUUUUGUUUAAAAUUCUGUAUUCUUCUUCUUAUUAGUUUGUUGCCAAGUGUUAUUUAUAACCAUAUUACCAAGUGUUCAUCUAAGUCCAUAUGUUCUUGAUUAUACCGGAAAAGUAUCUGCAAAAAAUUGACUUCUCUAACCAUGAUGGUAGAGACUCCAGUGGUGGUGGUGAACUUGAGUGUUUUAAUAUUGCUGCUACUAGACUUGGAAACACAUUCAUGAGGCCUUUUUACUUGGAAUCACAAUUUCCAGAAUAUUUUGAUUUAAACUUUGGAGUUUUAGUGGCAGAUAUUUUAAAUCAGGGCCUCAAAGAUGAUUUAAACAGUGAAGUUCUUAUGGGAGAUUUUUGUUUCAAAACUAUCUUAUUAUAUUUUGUAUUUUUGAUGAUUUAGUAUUUUGUAUGGGAAAAUGGAACACAAGAAUGCUCUAAAUUAAAAUAACCAUAUUGGGUUGUAAUUUAGCCAUUUUAAA